UCCAUUUUUAAUGUUUAUCUUUUUUCUUGUUCUAUUUUUUUUAAUCACCGAUAGUUAAUCAAUUCUUUUUCUGUGAAUUAACUUGUUUACUAAAUCAGUUGAUUCUGUUGUUAAUUGUAAUCGAUGUGUUUACUAUUUAGAAGGAAAAAAAUCUCCACAAAAGCUUCUCCCUUUCUCUGUUUGUCUCUCUCUUCAUAGAGAGAGAGAGAGAGAGAGAGAGAGAAAUUAAUUUCCAACGUGUGUUAAUUAUCUCACAUUUGCUUCCGUGAUUAUCUGUUUUCUUAUAUUAAUUUCUAAUCUUGUUGGCAUUGAUUCAAAUGUUUAUCUAGAUGACAAUUGAUCACAUCGCUACUUGAUCACCGGAUGAUUGAAUAUCCCAAGUGAGUAACUAUUAAUUGUUUCCCUUUGCUUUUUUUUCCAGGUUAAUGGUAACCAAUUUUUGGUUUUAUUCCAAUCAAUUUAAUCCAUGACUUACAAUCUCCGACAAUCGUUAUUAACAUAGUCACAAAUCAAUUAAACGCCAGUUCAAGGUACAAUUGCGACAGGUCAAAAUGUGGAACGAUAAUAAUCAAUAAUAAUAAACAAGACCCAACAAAAGACAACAAUUAAUAAGUGGAAAUUACAAUUUUCCAUUAUAAGUGUUGUAUGUUUACCAAUGAGAACAUCAUCUUAAUCAUCUUUAAUCAAUUUAACUUAAUUGCGGUUGAUUUGUUCAUCAUCAAUUUCUCAACAUCAAUCAGACAACAACAAAUAACAGUUAAAAUCUUAAUUAUGGUGAUAAAAAGGUUUCCAUCUUCAAUUAAGAUAAUCUAACAAUCAUCACCUGAAUUAACAAUCAAUUUAAUCUGUGAUACUACAUUAUAUUGUUAUACUCUUAUGUUUUAAUCAAUUGUUGAGAUGAUACAGUUAAUUGUGAAAAAUAAUCACAGGAAACCGACGGAAAUUACAAAUCAAAUUGGAAAACCAUUGCAAUUGAAUAUGGAGAAAAUUAAACAAUAUAAUCAAAAGAAACAAUCAAAGGAAAAUGUUUAAAUCAAUUCCCGCUAUUUAAACGAUAAACAAUUAAGAAUACCUCCUUGGGUGAAAUCAACUUGAAAUGGAAACAGAAAAGCUAAUCAAUUCUGUCAGUUGAUAACAAUUAACUCAACACAUUCCUUGAUUGUGUUUAUUUAAUUAUUUUACUAAAUCAUUUCCUUAA
Panonychus citri (citrus red mite) is the source of this 1198-nucleotide long non-coding RNA. RefSeq lists it as uncharacterized. The transcript has 2 exons. The record is from RefSeq and is a predicted model, not a curated record. NCBI's taxonomy places the organism in Eukaryota, Metazoa, Arthropoda, Arachnida, Trombidiformes, Tetranychidae.